RNAcentral lists this ribosomal RNA (484 nucleotides) under uncultured bacterium. RNAcentral describes it as "partial 16S ribosomal RNA". It matches the Rfam family "Bacterial small subunit ribosomal RNA", at positions 30 to 507 of the family's 1533-position model. The record is from RNAcentral.
AUUGAACGCUGGCGGCAGGCCUAACACAUGCCAGUCGAGCGGAUGAAGGGAGCUUGCUCCUGGAUUCAGCGGCGGACGGGUGAGUAAUGCCUAGGAAUCUGCCUGGUAGUGGGGGAUAACGUCCGGAAACGGGCGCUAAUACCGCAUACGUCCUGAGGGAGAAAGUGGGGGAUCUUCGGACCUCACGCUAUCAGAUGAGCCUAGGUCGGAUUAGCUAGUUGGUGGGGUAAAGGCCUACCAAGGCGACGAUCCGUAACUGGUCUGAGAGGGUGAUCAGUCACACUGGAACUGAGACACGGUCCAGACUCCUACGGGAGGCAGCAGUGGGGAAUAUUGGACAAUGGGCGAAAGCCUGAUCCAGCCAUGCCGCGUGUGUGAAGAAGGUCUUCGGAUUGUAAAGCACUUUAAGUUGGGAGGAAGGGCAGUAAGUUAAUACCUUGCUGUUUUGACGUUACCAACAGGAUAAGCACCGGCUAACUUCGUG